AGCGUACACGGUGGAUGCCCUGGCAGUCAGAGGCGAUGAAGGACGUGCUAAUCUGCGAUAAGCGUCGGUGAGGUGAUAUGAACCGUUAUAACCGGCGAUUUCCGAAUGGGGAAACCCAGUGUGUUUCGACACACUAUCAUUAACUGAAUCCAUAAGUUAAUGAGGCGAACCGGGGGAACUGAAACAUCUAAGUACCCCGAGGAAAAGAAAUCAACCGAGAUUCCCCCAGUAGCGGCGAGCGAACGGGGAGGAGCCCAGAGCCUGAAUCAGUGUGUGUGUUAGUGGAAGCGUCUGGAAAGGCGCGCGAUACAGGGUGACAGCCCCGUACACAAAAAUGCACAUACUGUGAGCUCGAUGAGUAGGGCGGGACACGUGGUAUCCUGUCUGAAUAUGGGGGGACCAUCCUCCAAGGCUAAAUACUCCUGACUGACCGAUAGUGAACCAGUACCGUGAGGGAAAGGCGAAAAGAACCCCGGCGAGGGGAGUGAAAAAGAACCUGAAACCGUGUACGUACAAGCAGUGGGAGCCUCUUAAUGGGGUGACUGCGUACCUUUUGUAUAAUGGGUCAGCGACUUAUAUUCUGUAGCAAGGUUAACCGAAUAGGGGAGCCGAAGGGAAACCGAGUCUUAACUGGGCGUUAAGUUGCAGGGUAUAGACCCGAAACCCGGUGAUCUAGCCAUGGGCAGGUUGAAGGUUGGGUAACACUAACUGGAGGACCGAACCGACUAAUGUUGAAAAAUUAGCGGAUGACUUGUGGCUGGGGGUGAAAGGCCAAUCAAACCGGGAGAUAGCUGGUUCUCCCCGAAAGCUAUUUAGGUAGCGCCUCGUGAAUUCAUCUCCGGGGGUAGAGCACUGUUUCGGCAAGGGGGUCAUCCCGACUUACCAACCCGAUGCAAACUGCGAAUACCGGAGAAUGUUAUCACGGGAGACACACGGCGGGUGCUAACGUCCGUCGUGAAGAGGGAAACAACCCAGACCGCCAGCUAAGGUCCCAAAGUCAUGGUUAAGUGGGAAACGAUGUGGGAAGGCCCAGACAGCCAGGAUGUUGGCUUAGAAGCAGCCAUCAUUUAAAGAAAGCGUAAUAGCUCACUGGUCGAGUCGGCCUGCGCGGAAGAUGUAACGGGGCUAAACCAUGCACCGAAGCUGCGGCAGCGACACUAUGUGUUGUUGGGUAGGGGAGCGUUCUGUAAGCCUGUGAAGGUGGCCUGUGAGGGUUGCUGGAGGUAUCAGAAGUGCGAAUGCUGACAUAAGUAACGAUAAAGCGGGUGAAAAGCCCGCUCGCCGGAAGACCAAGGGUUCCUGUCCAACGUUAAUCGGGGCAGGGUGAGUCGACCCCUAAGGCGAGGCCGAAAGGCGUAGUCGAUGGGAAACAGGUUAAUAUUCCUGUACUUGGUGUUACUGCGAAGGGGGGACGGAGAAGGCUAUGUUGGCCGGGCGACGGUUGUCCCGGUUUAAGCGUGUAGGCUGGUUUUCCAGGCAAAUCCGGAAAAUCGAGGCUGAGGCGUGAUGACGAGGCACUACGGUGCUGAAGCGACAAAUGCCCUGCUUCCAGGAAAAGCCUCUAAGCAUCAGGUAACAUUAAAUCGUACCCCAAACCGACACAGGUGGUCAGGUAGAGAAUACCAAGGCGCUUGAGAGAACUCGGGUGAAGGAACUAGGCAAAAUGGUGCCGUAACUUCGGGAGAAGGCACGCUGAUAUGUAGGUGAAGCGACUUGCUCGUGGAGCUGAAAUCAGUCGAAGAUACCAGCUGGCUGCAACUGUUUAUUAAAAACACAGCACUGUGCAAACACGAAAGUGGACGUAUACGGUGUGACGCCUGCCCGGUGCCGGAAGGUUAAUUGAUGGGGUUAGCGGCAACGCGAAGCUCUUGAUCGAAGCCCCGGUAAACGGCGGCCGUAACUAUAACGGUCCUAAGGUAGCGAAAUUCCUUGUCGGGUAAGUUCCGACCUGCACGAAUGGCGUAAUGAUGGCCAGGCUGUCUCCACCCGAGACUCAGUGAAAUUGAACUCGCUGUGAAGAUGCAGUGUACCCGCGGCAAGACGGAAAGACCCCGUGAACCUUUACUAUAGCUUGACACUGAACAUUGAGCCUUGAUGUGUAGGAUAGGUGGGAGGCUUUGAAGUGUGGACGCCAGUCUGCAUGGAGCCGACCUUGAAAUACCACCCUUUAAUGUUUGAUGUUCUAACGUUGGCCCCUUACCGGGGUUGCGGACAGUGUCUGGUGGGUAGUUUGACUGGGGCGGUCUCCUCCUAAAGAGUAACGGAGGAGCACGAAGGUUGGCUAAUCCUGGUCGGACAUCAGGAGGUUAGUGCAAUGGCAUAAGCCAGCUUGACUGCGAGCGUGACGGCGCGAGCAGGUGCGAAAGCAGGUCAUAGUGAUCCGGUGGUUCUGAAUGGAAGGGCCAUCGCUCAACGGAUAAAAGGUACUCCGGGGAUAACAGGCUGAUACCGCCCAAGAGUUCAUAUCGACGGCGGUGUUUGGCACCUCGAUGUCGGCUCAUCACAUCCUGGGGCUGAAGUAGGUCCCAAGGGUAUGGCUGUUCGCCAUUUAAAGUGGUACGCGAGCUGGGUUUAGAACGUCGUGAGACAGUUCGGUCCCUAUCUGCCGUGGGCGCUGGAGAACUGAGGGGGGCUGCUCCUAGUACGAGAGGACCGGAGUGGACGCAUCACUGGUGUUCGGGUUGUCAUGCCAAUGGCACUGCCCGGUAGCUAAAUGCGGAAGAGAUAAGUGCUGAAAGCAUCUAAGCACGAAACUUGCCCCGAGAUGAGUUCU
Molecule: ribosomal RNA, 2773 nt
Filed under: Escherichia coli
Lineage: Bacteria; Pseudomonadati; Pseudomonadota; Gammaproteobacteria; Enterobacterales; Enterobacteriaceae
Description: bacterial LSU rRNA
Rfam family: Bacterial large subunit ribosomal RNA
Source: RNAcentral